UACAGAGGUGGCAAGCGUUGUUCGGAAUUACUGGGCGUAAAGGGCGCGUAGGCGGUCCGAUAAGUCCUGUGUGAAAUCCCUCGGCUCAACUGAGGAACUGCACGGGAGACUGUCGGGCUUGAGUUCGGGAGAGGGAAGCGGAAUUCCGGGUGUAGCGGUGGAAUGCGUAGAGAUCAGGUGGAACACCGAUGGCGAAGGCAGCAUCCUGGCCGGAGACUGACGCUGAGGCGCGAACAGCGUGGGGAGCAAACAGG
RNAcentral lists this ribosomal RNA (254 nucleotides) under uncultured bacterium. RNAcentral's name for it is "partial 16S ribosomal RNA". It matches the Rfam family "Bacterial small subunit ribosomal RNA", at positions 524 to 776 of the family's 1533-position model. The record is from RNAcentral.